Alligator sinensis (Chinese alligator) is the source of this 244-nucleotide long non-coding RNA. RefSeq lists it as uncharacterized. The record is from RefSeq and is a predicted model, not a curated record. The transcript has 4 exons. Lineage: Eukaryota; Metazoa; Chordata; Crocodylia; Alligatoridae.
CAGAGCUGGAGGCAGCACUCUGGUGCCUGGCACUGAAGAAAGAAUAUCUCCAGGUAUAGCUGCUGCUCUGGUAACACCAGGAGGUUCAUGACACCGAUCAAAGUAUGACUGCCAAACUGAAGGAUACCAGGUCCAGCUUUCCAGCUCAGGUCCCAAAAGUCUGUCCCUAACUGCCAAGACAAAUGUGCGGUUGCCUACACCAAGAAUUGAGAGACUGUGACAAAGCACCACCACUGAUGAAGCC